Molecule: ribosomal RNA, 441 nt
Filed under: uncultured bacterium
Lineage: Bacteria
Description: partial 16S ribosomal RNA
Rfam family: Bacterial small subunit ribosomal RNA
Source: RNAcentral
CUACGGGCGGCAGCAGUAAAGAAUCUUCCGCAAUGGACGAAAGUCUGACGGAGCGACACCGCGUGGUGGAUGAAGGCCUUUGGGUCGUAAACACCUUUUAUGAGGGAAGAAAAUCUGACGGUACCUCAUGAAUAAGCACCAGCUAAUUACGUGCCAGCAGCCGCGGUAAUACGUAAGGUGCAAGCGUUAUCCGGAAUUAUUGGGCGUAAAGCGUCCGCAGGUGGUGUAGUAAGUCUGUCAUUAAAUAUCGGUGCUCAACAUCGAUGCUGUGAUGGAAACUAUUACGCUAGAGGAUGGGAGAGGUAUAUGGAAUUGCGCAAGUAGGGGUAAAAUCCGUAGAUAUGCGCAGGAACACCAAAAGCGAAGGCAGUAUACUGGACCAUUCCUGACACUCAGGGACGAAAGCGUGGGGAGCAAAAGGGAUUAGAUACCCGGGUAGUC